This 459-nucleotide ribosomal RNA is filed under the name uncultured bacterium. RNAcentral's name for it is "partial 16S ribosomal RNA". It matches the Rfam family "Bacterial small subunit ribosomal RNA", at positions 338 to 795 of the family's 1533-position model. The record is from RNAcentral.
CCUACGGGAUGCAGCAGUGAGGAAUAUUGAUCAAUGGGCGGGAGCCUGAACCAGCCAAGCCGCGUGAGGGAAGAAGGUACAGCGUAUCGUAAACCUCUUUUGUCAGGGAACAAAGGCGGGGACUAGUCCCCGGAUGAGGGUACCUUAAGAAAAAGCAUCGGCUAACUCCGUGCCAGCAGCCGCGGUAAUACGGAGGAUGCGAGCGUUAUCCGGAUUUAUUGGGUUUAAAGGGUGCGCAGGCGGCCUGUUAAGUCAGCGGGAAAAGCCCGGGGUUCAACCCCGGCGAGCCGUUGAAACUGGCGGGCUGGAGUUGGAGAGAAGUACGCGGAAUGCGCGGUGUAGCGGUGAAAUGCUUAGAUAUCGCGCAGAACCCCGAUUGCGAAGGCAGCGUACCGGCUCCACACUGACGCUGAGGCACGAAAGCGUGGGUAUCGAACAGGAUUAGAUACCCGAGUAGUC